CAGGUGUCGCCUUACAAAAACUUCUCUGUGUAGUUGCCAAUUAGCAGGUCUGAUUGAAAUUGCAAUUGUUCCAUCUCCUUUAAACAUGUUUUUAAGCAGAAAUCGAAGAGUUAUGGAUAUAUUAGUUUUGUGCUGGGUGCGUCUGACACCCAGAAGGAAGCGUAUUCGACCGCAUUAAGUAUGUUUGACGCCUAGUUCACAGAGACUUUAGAAGAGUUCGUCUCCUAGCGUACUGGAGUGAGAUAGAAAAACAGCUGACUUGGUGUGAGAAGUGAAAAAGAAAGAGAUAGAGAUAGAUGUGGAUGUAGCGGGAUAAGAAACCGUACUGGAAAAAUGGUAAAAAUAAAAAAUUCAAAAAUAAAUCGUCGCCAAAAUGCACUUGCUUGUAUAUUUCAACCAACCAAUCAAAAUGGAUGCAACCGUCGGCCGCUUCGGCAUUCGAGGCGUGGUUCUAGGCGCAUGGUUCUUUGCUUCCAAGCCGAUGGACCACAAAUGGGCUAUACUUGAUAGAGCUUGGAUGCACUAAAAUUAGGUGAAAGAUUUUAUAGAAUACGAAAAUUCUGAGGUUCUGAGAUCGGAGUUCCAAAUAAAUCGGAAUGUUCUUCUUACAGGGGCUUAACGGGCUGCGACUUUCCGAAUGCCUGCUUCCCGGCUUUUGGUUUCUUGGCGUUCGGUUUGAAUUCUAUUCGGAAUUCAAUUUCAUUAUUCCUUUUUAUUUAUAUUUAUUACUUCUUAUAACGUUAGGCAACAAAAUCAAACUUUGAUUUACGCUUCAGCCAAAUCAACUUUUCCUAAUAGAUUUGGGGCUGUAAAAAUUUAUAAUGAUCUAUGGUUUUUUCAUUAUUUUUAACUUUAUCAAAAUGUUUUUUCAAAGGAAGAUUCACAUAAUUUAAGUAUCUUUAAUCUGGUUGCUUUAAACUAUGCAAUUCUAAAAAGCUAAUUAAUAUAAAUCUGACCCAAAACUUUUAGUAUUAAUU
Drosophila pseudoobscura is the source of this 977-nucleotide long non-coding RNA. RefSeq lists it as uncharacterized. The record is from RefSeq and is a predicted model, not a curated record. NCBI's taxonomy places the organism in Eukaryota, Metazoa, Arthropoda, Insecta, Diptera, Drosophilidae. The transcript has 3 exons.